Molecule: transfer RNA, 75 nt
Filed under: Nitrospirota bacterium
Lineage: Bacteria; Pseudomonadati; Nitrospirota
Also listed under: 3 other names
Description: Nitrospirae bacterium tRNA-Val
Rfam family: tRNA
About the family: Transfer RNA (tRNA) molecules are approximately 80 nucleotides in length. Their secondary structure includes four short double-helical elements and three loops (D, anti-codon, and T loops).
Source: RNAcentral
AGGCUCGUAGCUCAGGGGGAGAGCGCUACCUUGACACGGUAGAGGUCCCCGGUUCGAAACCGGGCGGGCCUACCA